RNAcentral lists this long non-coding RNA (226 nucleotides) under Callithrix jacchus (white-tufted-ear marmoset). RNAcentral describes it as "lncRNA (ENSCJAG00000078809.1)". Lineage: Eukaryota; Metazoa; Chordata; Mammalia; Primates; Cebidae. The record is from RNAcentral.
AGGGAUAUGAGAAGUAUUGCUGUGCAUCAUGUAUCAGAUUCCUUCAGGAGAUGCUGGACUUGACUCCUGGCCUCAAGUGAUGCUGCUUCAACUUCUUGAGUAACUGGAGCUACAGACAUGUGCCACCGUGCUUGGUAAAAGCAUAAUGAUUUGGAGUGAAGUAUAAUGAAAUAAAUGGUUUGACCAGAAGAUUAAUAAUGUGCUGGUUUGUCAAUAGAGGAGGAGG